GCAGGUCACGCCUGCUGCACGGCAGCAGGCCUGCUGCCGUGCAGCAGGUAAAAAAAAAAAUUUUCAAAAAUUUUUUUUUUUUUUUUUCUUUUAUUUGCUCGGGCCGAGCAUUUUUGUCACGGGCCAUUUUUGGCCCGUGACACGAGCCGGCCCGUGUGGCUCGGCGAGCCACACGGGCUUGCUCGGGCUCGGGCCGGCCUCUUAUUUUGAGGCUCGGCCCGAGCCUAGGCUCGAUCCCUACGAGCCACGAGCCGGGCGGGCUCGGGCUUUUUCCGAGCCGAGCCACGAGCCGCCCGAGCCACCGAGCCUUUUUGACACCCCUAAAAUCGCCCAAGAAUUGUUGGAAGAAUUCGAUCAAGUAGAGCUUCAAUGUGUUAAUAGAAUAUAUAAUGACAUAGCAAAUGAGUUGGCCCAGAUGGUUUCAGGGUAUUCAAAGGCUUUAAAUUGGAAAUCUACUUAUGAAUAUGGAGUAAUAUUGCCCGUGGUCCAAAGAAGGGCGAGAAGGAUUGAAAUUCAUUGCAUACAAGAUGGAGAUGCAAUAGAUUGGAGGGCAGAGAUUAAAAUGUUCCUUAAAAACCUAAUAAAGGAGGUAGUAGAAAAAUAAAGUUGCGUUUGCUAAACUAUACACUGAUAGAUGAAGAGUUAUUUAAGAAAUGCUCUAAUGGUAUAUUACUAAAAUGUGUAAGCUUGCAAAAAGUCAGAACAAUCAGGGAUGAAGUGCAUGAAGGGAUAUGUGGAGCUCAUCAAGUUGGCCAAAAGAUGAGAUGGUUAAUUAUUAGGAAUGGAUAUUUUUGGCCCAAGAUGGGAGAAUCAUGUGUUCAAUAUGCGAAGAGUUGUAUAGCAUGCCAAAAGCAUGGUCUAAUACAAAGGGCGCAGCAAGAGAGAUGGCACCCAUUAUUAAACCCUGGCCGUUCAAGGGUUGGGCGAUAGACCUGAUAGGGAAGAUUUAUUCCCCAUCGUCCAAGCAACAUACCUUUGUUAUGGUUGCAACUAAUUUUUUCACUAAGUGGGUAGAAGCGAUACCUUUAAAGGAGAUCACCCAAAAGAGUGUCAUAGAAUUUAUCCGUGAUCAUAUUAUUUAUAGAUUUGGGAUUCCACAAACUUUGAUGGUAGAUCACGGAACUUCUUUAAAUGGAGAUCAAGUGAAUAAAUUUUUGAGCGAGUUUGGAGUUAAAUUAGUGAACUCCACACCAUAUUACGCUCAAUCUAACAGACAAGCAGAAUCUUCUAAUAAGAUUCUAAAAAAUAUCAUAAGGAAAAUGAUAGAUGAAAAUGUCAGAAAUUGGCACGAAUAUCUAAACAAAGCUUUAUGGGCUUACAGGAUGUCGCCUCUAUCAAGUACCAAGGUUACUCCUUUCCAACUUACUUAUGGACAGGAGGCCGUUUUGCCUAUGGAAAUCAAUGUGUGAUCAAUCAGAGUGUGUUUGCAACAUAAGUUAAGUGAUGGUGAGAAUACCGAAUCACUAGUUCAAAACUUAUUGGAGUUGGACAAAUUAAAGUUCGAAGUCCUAGAUAGAUUGCAAGUUCAAAAACGAAGGAUGGCUAAGUUUUACAAUAAAAAAGUUAUAGCCAUGUCAUUUAGCCUGGGCGAAUUGGUUUGGAAAACAAUACUCCCUUUGGGUAGUAAGGAUCCAAAGUAUGGCAAGUGGUUGUCCAAUUGGAAAGGACCAUUUAAAGUAAAUAUUGUGUUGCCUAAUGGAGCUUACCAUUUAGAAGAUUUAGAUGGCACCAAGCACAUGAGGUUCAUUAAUGGCAAAUAUUUAAAAAAGUAUGUUCCUUCCUUAUGGGAGAAUGAACAAAUAAAAUUGUAAUCAAAUUGCGCUGAACGAUCGUAGAUAAAUAGGGCCAAAACGAAAUACGUUCAAAUAAAUACCUUUAUUAUCAAAUAUACAUUACAAAUUGUGAGAUACAAAAUACUAAAUGCUCUAUAAGCUAUAAUUGAGAGCAAAUUAAUUUCUCGAUCGAUCGCCAAGCAAGAGGGUGAACCGACCUUGGUCGCCAUCCUGAUCGUACUGCUGCAAGGAUAGGCAGAGAGACCGAGAAGCACUCUCAACAAGCAAAAAGGAAGAAAAGCACCCUCAAAUCGCCUGCCUAAUCGCAUUGCUGCAAUAACGGGCAAGGAGACUGAGCAGCACUCUCAGCAAGCAAAGUGGCUUCAAAGGCAUCCUCAAAAAUUGUCUUCCAUCAUUGAACUCCUUAUAAAGAGCAUGGAGACGAUGGAAAGAACUUUGCUGGCCAAAGAAUAUUUCAUAUAUCUCCCAUACCAAAUGUGAUAUCAAAACAAAAAGCAAAAUGGGCGGAUCAAAUGAUCUAUUUCUAUGGAAGACGAAAAUUUUGGAUCAAUUGUUGAGAUGCCAAACGAUGGCAGCAAAUUAGUUUUUGAAGAAAAGAAUGGAAAUGAAAAUGAUGAGUGUGAAAUACACACGCAUUUAUAGAGACGUGAAGGUGAAAAGACAGAAUGUGAAGGGCCACAUUCGUGCCUAAUAACUAAAAUCAAAUGGCCCAAAGUCUUGGGAAAAGAGACGGAAAUACCAAGGAAGAAUGUACAUGAAUUUUAGCAUAAAGCAAUUAAAUAUUUGGGAGGUUGAUGAUUAAGCACAACGUCAAUUAAUACGCAAGUAGACAAAUUGGUCGUUCAUUAAUGACGAUAACUGCUGUUACAUUCAAAAUUAACAAUGGCAAUUAGUGCGAAGUUACAAAAGGAAAGUUAAGGCAUUAGAUGUUUUAAUUACAAUUCACCCCAGGCCGAACGAAUUCUUUCCCUAAGUCUCCCCCAAUCUUCGCUCUGCUGAGAAGAAGCAACAUUUAAUUCAGCUACAAAAUCGUCAUCAACCUCCAAUUUUUUGUAUUGCUCAACCAAAGACUUGGUUCGUUCAAUUCCUUGGGAAGCAUUACGUUUUUUAGCAGCCAUUCUCGCCCUACAAUCGUCCAUCUUUUCUUGAAGCUCCUUCAUCUCUGCAACCAAACUUGUCAUCAAAGAGUCUUCGACCAUAACGUCGGAAGAGAUUUCUUUUAAUUCAUCCUCGACUUUGUUAAUCUCUAGAAGGAAAAACUCUCUUUCAGAUGCAGCACAAAGAUAUUGAGUACUCCUAGCCUUCAGUUCAACAUUCUUGGCUAGCAAGGAGAGGAUGUCAGAGUGAACAACAUUCAACACUUUAAAGUCAGCAGAAACAUUGAGCGACGAAAGUGUAAGUGCUUGCGCCAAUUUCGUACUCAAUAGCUCAAGCUUAUCCUUAUGUUUAGGAGCACUAACUUGGCCGAUAUCCAUGUCCAUGAAAGACACGUACCCAAAUACUGCUUGAGAAACUUCAUAUUUUCCUCUAAAGAAGCAGAAGGAUGAUUAGUUGAAGUAGGGCGAGACUUCUUGACUUGCCCCCAGGAAGUAAACAAGUCCUGGAUGGAAUGCACAAUGUCAUCAGCAUCUUGCAAAGAAAAAUGCCAACAUUGAGGACUUUCACUACAAUAAACAAAGCGAAAAUGAAAGUGAAGCAAAAGGUUAACUCAUCAGCAAUCUGGGGAAGUUCAGGCAUAUCAUCAGUUAUCUCCACCACCUGUGGGGACUUCCCCUUAUCUGGGCGAGAAGACUCUGCCACAACGGCCAGGCCCAUGGGAGCCUCUGCAUAAUUCAAGAAGCAACAAAUCAGAAACCAGUAGCACAAGCAAAGGUAAGACAUCAAAAUAUGUAUUACCUUCUGGUUCGACGUUUGGGGAGUCGGCGCCCUGGGAAAAAGGUGGCAUUUCUACUGGUUGUGAUGAAGGUUCUGGGACUAAGGGUUUCUCUUUAAGCAUAAUCCCUUCAUCAGCUGAUUUGGACGAAGCAGUUUCAGCAGAAGAUGAUGGAAUAGGGGCUGCCAAGACCAAAGCCUUCGAAGGAGAGGUUGAACUUUUCUGAGGAAUUCAAGUAAACCAUUAGUACAUAGAAAAGUAUGUUUGUGAAUAAACAAAUUCAAUUACCUUUCUUCUAAGGAUAAGAGGAGCGUCAUCAUCUUCAUCAUUAUCAUCCUGCAAAAUGGGAGAUGCUGAAGCUGGCCGUUUGCGGCUUAAG
RNAcentral lists this long non-coding RNA (4045 nucleotides) under Olea europaea subsp. europaea. The record is from RNAcentral. Lineage: Eukaryota; Viridiplantae; Streptophyta; Magnoliopsida; Lamiales; Oleaceae.